This 500-nucleotide ribosomal RNA is filed under the name uncultured bacterium. RNAcentral's name for it is "partial 16S ribosomal RNA". It matches the Rfam family "Bacterial small subunit ribosomal RNA", at positions 30 to 523 of the family's 1533-position model. The record is from RNAcentral.
AUUGAACGCUGGCGGAAUGCUUUACACAUGCAAGUCGAACGGCAGCACGGACUUCGGUCUGGUGGCGAGUGGCGAACGGGUGAGUAACAUAUCGGAACGUAUCCAAUAAUGGGGGAUAACGAGUCGAAAGAUUCGCUAAUACCGCAUACGCCCUACGGGGGAAAGCUGGGGACCUUCGGGCCUGGCGUUAAUGGAGCGGCCGGUAUCUGAUUAGCUAGUUGGUGAGGUAAAGGCUCACCAAGGCGACGAUCAGUAGCUGGUCUGAGAGGACGACCAGCCACACUGGAACUGAGACACGGUCCAGACUCCUACGGGAGGCAGCAGUGGGGAAUUUUGGACAAUGGGCGUAAGCCUGAUCCAGCCAUUCCGCGUGAGUGAAGAAGGCCUUCGGGUUGUAAAGCUCUUUCGCAAGGGAAGAAAACUUAGCCACUAACAUUGGUUGAGGUUGACGGUACCUUGAUAAGAAGCACCGGCUAACUACGUGCCAGCAGCCGCGGUAA